Molecule: ribosomal RNA, 474 nt
Filed under: Gemella haemolysans
Lineage: Bacteria; Bacillati; Bacillota; Bacilli; Caryophanales; Gemellaceae
Description: bacterial SSU rRNA
Rfam family: Bacterial small subunit ribosomal RNA
Source: RNAcentral
GGCGGCGUGCCUAAUACAUGCAAGUCGAGCGAAGUUUUUCUGGUGCUUGCACCGGAAAAACUUAGCGGCGAACGGGUGAGUAACACGUAAAGAACCUGCCUCAUAGACUGGGACAACUAUUGGAAACGAUAGCUAAUACCGGAUAACAGCAUUAACUGCAUGGUUGAUGUUUAAAAGUUGGUUUUGCUAACACUAUGAGAUGGCUUUGCGGUGCAUAGCUAGUUGGUGGGGUAAAGGCCUACCAAGGCGACGAUGCAUAGCCGACCUGAGAGGGUGAUCGGCCACACUGGGACUGAGACACGGCCCAGACUCCUACGGGAGGCAGCAGUAGGGAAUCUUCCGCAAUGGGCGAAAGCCUGACGGAGCAACGCCGCGUGAGUGAAGAAGGAUUUCGGUUCGUAAAGCUCUGUUGUUAGGGAAGAAUGAUUGUGUAGUAACUAUACACAGUAGAGACGGUACCUAAACCAGAAAGCC